UACAGCCAUACCACCCUGAAUGUGCCUGAUCUCAUCUGACCUCGGAAGCUAAGCAGGGUCGGGCCUGGUUAGUACCUGGAUGGGAGAAAUUAUUGGACAAAGAUGUAU
Molecule: ribosomal RNA, 108 nt
Filed under: Propithecus coquereli (Coquerel's sifaka)
Lineage: Eukaryota; Metazoa; Chordata; Mammalia; Primates; Indriidae
Source: RNAcentral